AUGCGCCAGGGAAACAUAGGUGUCCGCCCACAGAAAAUGAAGUAUGUAGUUCAAGAUGGACGGAUUCGAACAGCUUCAAUUGCACUAGAAAGAGGACGCAUCAGCCGCAUAGACUUUUUAAAUGCUGUGAAAUAUGUCACUAAGACACUUGUAAACGGAGAAGUUGAGAAGGCCGAAAAGAGAGGAUCAGUUGAAGAGGAAGAAGACGAUAAUGAUGAGAUUAUUGGACAGGUUGAGCCUCCUGUUGGUCGUCCAUUUGUGGAAGCACUUGAAAAAUUAGGCAGCACAAGAAGAUUUUCUGGAAAACGAGGCAUCUCUAGAAAAGGCCGUCUACAAAGGGGAAUUCCUAGACCAGCUCCUCUGCGGAAAAAGACUUCUCAUCGGCAAAGAAGGAAAGUUGUCCUGAGAGGUGGCAUAAAAAAGCAUGCUAAGAAGCCCAUGUUGAAUAAAGAAGUUCUCGCUUUUGACCGUCCUGAGCCCAUCAUUGAACCUGUUCCUCAAGGAUCAAAAGAUAACCCUGAUAAUGGUCUAAGAGUUGUUAAUGCCAGAAAGAAGAGCUCAAUUUUUUUAAUGUUUGGAAAUACUGCUGAGGAAAAAUCAGAAACAAAGAAGGCCUCUCUUCCUGCUGCAUCUUUAGCUAUCGAAAAUGAACCAAUGAAUCAUGCCGAUCAACUAAGCCGAGAACAUUUUAUUGGAACAGUACAUAAAAUCGACGGAAAUCUUAGUACAGCAAGAUGCAUAGCAAGAUGCAUGGAGCCAGCUAUGACAAAUUCUAUCUUAAUUCCUGAGGCACAUACUCCAGCAAGUUACUCGGAGCAUCACUUAUAUGAUUAUUCUCAAGGUAGCGAUACACAAAGUGCUUCAAAUUUCAGCGAUACACUGACUGCUUCAGAAUUCAGCGAUACUGCUUCAGCAUGCUCAGAGGCUCCAGAUGCAGUCAUUGAUGCCCUGUUCGCUGAAGCAGGUCCAGUGCUAGAGAGUUGUUCUGUAAGUUCAUGUGGCAAAAGAGACGAUUCUGAAAUGGAUGUAGAAUGGCUAGCAAUUCCUGAGCUUCCAAAGGAGGAUUAUUUAAAAAGGAUACCUCCGUCUAACCCGAACUAUCCAAAUUGGCCCUUUGAGCAGCCACCAGAUUCGCGGUUUGCCAGGCAUCUGAGGCUGCAGUUUGGAUGCUCCUCAGAGGAUGAGACUGAUCCGGAAGAUUCCGACGAUAAAACAGCUCCAAUGCGCCUUCAGGCAAUCGCAAGAAAAAAUGUCAGAUCUGCUAUCAAGAAGGCAAGGAAUAGGGACUACGUAAAAUCGAGUGAAGUCAGAAGUCUAGGGUUGCCUGGGGUACUCGAAAGAUAUGUAGCCUAUAACAACUAGGCUUUGAAGAAACUCGCCUAGCCCUAAUAUCACCCACUUCCUGAUUUUUAAAUAUGUUUGAUGUAAUAGAUUUUUUGUAUUUCUGUAGUUGCUGUAUUUUUUUUUCCGUCUGUUAAGAAUUGUGAUUCCUGUUAGAUGUUAAGAAUUAGGCUCAGACUGCAGCUUUUAGCAAUAAAUAAUCCUUGAAAUACUA
This 1555-nucleotide long non-coding RNA is filed under the name Bemisia tabaci. RNAcentral describes it as "lncRNA ENSASIAIIG003392". Lineage: Eukaryota; Metazoa; Arthropoda; Insecta; Hemiptera; Aleyrodidae. The record is from RNAcentral.